UUCACGUUAGGGGGACAAGAUAUGCUCUGCAAGGUAGGCCCGCACGACAUUAAGAGGAGUCCGAUGUAACCUUAGCUAGGAAUUCAUCGGUUACGUUAUGGGUUUGUGCUCGAGGUUAGUCCACCCGAUUACACUCCUUAAAAUCAACUUAGAUAACUAUAUGUUAAACCAUAAUAUGCAAUGCUAUGCUUAUGAUAUAUGCACAUGAUAUGAUAUGAUAUGAUACGACCUAAGUAUAAGUGACAGUGAUCUUAGUUAUGCACGAUCGUUUAGGUAUGCAUGAGUUCACACACGUAUAAUCAACCGAAUGGUUGUGUUGUAGACACGUGGUGACCAUAGGUUUCCUCGAGGUUACCUCUAGCCUAGGAUUAGGUAGAACUCACUGAGACAUUAUGUCUCAUCCCUUCCUUGCAUGUUUGUUCAGGUUCGCAGGUGGCCCGUGGCAAAGGUAAGAAGAAGGCUACAUAUUGAUCGUGCUUGUUGGAUUUAGUACUUAUGUCCUGUUCUUGACGUUAUGUGUUUAUGUAAUAGUUGUAAUGGAUCUCGUUG
This 549-nucleotide long non-coding RNA is filed under the name Medicago truncatula (barrel medic). RNAcentral describes it as "long non-coding RNA (MTRU_LNC003949)". The record is from RNAcentral. Lineage: Eukaryota; Viridiplantae; Streptophyta; Magnoliopsida; Fabales; Fabaceae.